Long non-coding RNA from Helianthus annuus (common sunflower), 1563 nucleotides. RefSeq lists it as uncharacterized. The transcript has 4 exons. The record is from RefSeq and is a predicted model, not a curated record. NCBI's taxonomy places the organism in Eukaryota, Viridiplantae, Streptophyta, Magnoliopsida, Asterales, Asteraceae.
UCCAAAUAUGUCCUCUCUUCAAUUAGGUUUCAAAGAUUUCUUACAUUUCUUGGAGUUCAAUGUGGUAAAUUGAAUCAUGAAAUCAAUUGUUUCAUCUGUUAUGGCAAUGAAACCUCGUGGGAGCAUUUAAUGAUUGAAAGCGAAGAUUGAAUGCUGGCAGCAAAUUGAAGACGCAAAUGAAACCUGGUAGGGGCAAUUAAUUGUGAAAUCAUUUGAAUUAUGAUUUCGUCGUUGAUGAUUGAUGAUCAAAUGAAACAUGGUAAGAGCAAUUAAUGAACGAAACUAAAGAUUGAAUGUUGGCAGCAAAUUGAAGACACGAAUUAAAUUUUCCCCGUCGUUUCUAGACCCACAAUUCUUUAAGAGGGAACCGAUGAUUGAAUUGUGGGGUCAUUUGCGAGUUCAAUUCCCUAUUAUUAGGUCCACACGGCUGCUUAAUUACACACAUCUGCGACCGGAAUCCGCGUUUCUAAGGGUUGCGGAAGAAAAAACGAGCUGAAACAUUAAAGAAAUGAGCACACAGGAGGAGGUUUAGGCUUAGUCUUAGUGAAGGAUUCUCAUGAAAUGGAAAUGGAUAUUUAAGGAUGUGAGAAGAUAGAGAAUUGAAUUGAAUUACAAAUCCAUAGACGAAAGCGGUGAAGAAAACAGAGUUGAAACAAAGAAGUUAUGGACGAAACGGUUUUCUCAAUUCGCAUGUCGGACACGUCACGCGGCCAGAGAGAAUCAGCUGCCCGCGCGACGCGGAGUGUGCCCUGAUUAGCGCGUAAAACUUCACUACAAGUCCUAUUGAAGCCCAUGUUUAAGCCUAAUCAUAACCAGAAAACCCUAGACGAAUUGGGAACCCCACAAUAUGAAUUAAGAAGCUGAAAAUGAAGAUUUUGAAGAUCAAAAGAGCUCGGGAGUGAAGAAUUGAAGCGUGGGAUCAAAUCUGUCAGGUACCAAAAUUGGUACUUUUGUAUUUUCAGGUCUUAAACAGAGCAUAAAGGAAAAUUAUGAUGAAAACGGACAAAUUCUGAUGCAUUUCUGAUAAAACGGACAAAAAUCUGAUGACUGCCAAGUGUCGCACGGCCGUGCAUCCAACCGCACUACCGUGCGAGACCUCCGACCUCGGAAGCACUGCCAGUGCGACUCAUGGUGCCGCUGAUUUCUCGAACCGCACCCCCUGCGAGUCAACCGCACCCCCUGCAAGCCAACCGCACCCCCUGCGAGCCAACCGCACCCCUAUGCACCACCUGGACCAUACUUUCUGAUCACGAUUAUGAUGGCGUCGCACUACCAUGCGACCAGUCGCAUGACCGUGCCAAUCUGAUGACCUAGACAAGUUGUCCACUAGUCCACUUGGCUGACCCGGGAUCGCUGAAACUAACGUCACCCGACAAGGCCUGACCGCACGGCCGUGCGACCAGUCGCAUGCCCGUGCGAAACUGAAAAUUGCCUAUAAAUAGCGGCAUUCGCUACUGAUCAAAAUGUUGGGUUUUUCUCCAUGUUUCUGGGCGAUUUCUGGGUUUCGAAGCAGUCCUGAUCAGACCCAUUUGAAGCUUAAAGAUCGAGUGGAAGCAUAACCGA